UCUGGGAGAUGCUGCUGGUAAAAAGAGGGGGGAAACCUUCUCUCAUUUUUUUGGCAAUAUAUGCUAUGAUAGCACAUGCCUGGCAUGUUGAGAACAAUGGCCCUUUGUUCUGCCCUAUUCUAGAACAAUAGAUCUGAAGAAAGAAAAACGUGCAGUCUAGAUCAAGAGCUUCUCAUCAGCCCUCCCUCACUCCUACCCACACUGAAAAAGAUAUAAGUAGCCAUAUUGGGGGUAAUGGAAAAGAAGAAGUGAAAGGACAAGGAAAACGCAGGGAACAGAGGUGGGCGGGGGGAUGUAAUCCAAGCUACUUUGUGCUUCAUAGAAGAUUGGGGAAAUUGUAGCGGGGAUGUGAGCAACCCUCAGAAAUAAACCACAACAAAAUAAUGUUCGUGCAUUCUUUGACAUUGAUUGUUCAUGAAGAGAAUUUCCAGCUCAACAAUCAGGACUGCUGCUUGAAAGAUUUCUUUUCCUCCCUGUCAUGCAGAUGAAUAUAUUUUCCAAGUGAAGACAUAAGCAAAAGUAGUUUCAGAAGUCUGGUGGAAUUGCGAAGGAAAUUCUACACAACAAAUGUCAAAGGAGAAGAAACAUGCUCACCAGAGUUGUUCGUUUCCACCAUAGAGGAGAUCCAGUGCAAAGUACAAAUGAAAAAGGGAUUCCCUCCAGAUGGAUGAAAGAAAAUAGACACUGAACUAUAUCAUCAGGUGUUGGAAAGAUUAUAGAAGAUAUGAAUGCUGAACCUCAGUCAUUAAACUGUGAAAGAUCAUAGAAAACAGAAGACAUAUCAGAGGACUGAGAACAGAACCAUGAGCAAUGGGUGGAAUUCACACAGAAGAAAAUUUAGGUUUGAUGCCAGGAAAAGUUUUCUAACAGCUGGAUCUGAGAAAAGUGGAAUGAGUUGCUUUGAGAAGAAGGCAGGUUUCCUGUCACUGGAGGUCUUCCAACAAAGGCUGGACCUUCCCCAAUAUGUUAGAAUGGGAAUUUUUUUCUGGUACAGGAUAAACUGGGUUGCUACUGGCAUUUCUUCCAACACUAACAUGUCACAAUUUUGUGGGUCUCCUCAACCCUGAGGACAGAACUAACAGUAGAGGGUAGGAGCUGUAAAGAAACAUAUUUUGGUUUCGAGAAAGAGAAAUAACUGAUUAUUACAGCUGU
This is a long non-coding RNA of Monodelphis domestica (gray short-tailed opossum), 1152 nucleotides long. RefSeq lists it as uncharacterized. The record is from RefSeq and is a predicted model, not a curated record. NCBI's taxonomy places the organism in Eukaryota, Metazoa, Chordata, Mammalia, Didelphimorphia, Didelphidae.